GAGGCAAAUCAUGCCUCUAAAAUCUACGAGAAUCCGUCUAUUCCGUUACCGUUUAUCACCAAAGUUAUGACUUCACUUUCAAUCUACGAGCAACAUAUUACCAAACAGUGAACCCGAGGAAGACAUCCAGAUGCUGUCCUCUCCAAAACGUCCAUACAGUACGUCUGAUGAAAUGGAAGACCCUGCUACUAUCAUUAGAGACUUCAAGAGGGAAAACAUCAGCGAGCAUUCUACAAUGACAGCUGUGGCAAGGAGGAAAAUUCUACACAGUGUCAUCACAGCUUUUAAAUCGGAGCUGUUUUGACUGGCACAAACGUCCACGGAUUGAAUUCCCUGGUGAGAUGGCUGAUGAUUGUGGCGGGCCUAAUAGAGAAUUCUUCAGGUCAGCAACCACCUUUCAUUUAUUUCAUUCACAGUCAGCGUGGAAUUAGGUACAAGCAAUUCCUUUUUCUGCAUAUUUCUGAGAAGAUUUGAUAUGUAAAGUAAAAAUGUAUUAAAAGAUAGGCCCAUUUUCUUUAUAUCUGGGACUCUGAGUGGCAGGGCUUGAAAUUGCUUUCUUUUCUGAUGCUUAAGAAUUAAUAAAUGAAUAACUUGUACCAUUAAUAAAUAAUCAUAACACUUUAACCACGGAGCUACCACUGCUCACAAUAGCUGGGUGGAUGCAGAUAUCCAAAGUUGCAGAUGUACGUCAUUCUCUCAGUUUUUGUAAGAAGUUGUCCUCCAACUUUAUUUAAAACCUUCUUGAUUUUGACAGUGGUGUUUAUUCAGGUAUUCUCUCCUAAACUGUGGGGCCAUUAUUUAUGAAGGAGAGACUAUUCUCCAUAUUCCUUCUGUUUGACAGAAGAUGACCCAAUUGCAUGUUUCCUUGUUUUCUAUCAUAUUAACAACUUUCCUCUUGUUUCUGUGAUUCUAUGUUCUAUUGUUCUGUUGUUUCUAUGUUCUUAGUCUUAUUUUAAAUAUAACUAAGCAGCAUGAAUCUUUUUAUGGAACAUACAAGUGUUUCAUAGACUGUACAAAAUGCUCAGAACAUUAAAACUGAGCCAGAGUAUUAAAAAUAGAUUCCUGGUUUGCGCGUGUC
Molecule: non-coding RNA, 1078 nt
Organism: Electrophorus electricus (electric eel)
Lineage: Eukaryota; Metazoa; Chordata; Actinopteri; Gymnotiformes; Gymnotidae
Source: RefSeq, a predicted model, not a curated record